Molecule: long non-coding RNA, 1111 nt
Filed under: Equus caballus (horse)
Lineage: Eukaryota; Metazoa; Chordata; Mammalia; Perissodactyla; Equidae
Description: lncRNA (ENSECAG00000031819.2)
Source: RNAcentral
GGCCCCUUAAGAACUUCUAGGAUUGGGAAGGGAUGGAGGCUAUUCGGGGAGGUUCCAGAAUGCCCAGAAGCCCAUCACUUUCCAUUUGCAGUUUCUUGACUCAGAAAGGACAGAGAGCAAGGAUGAGAGGAAGGGAAAGGAUGGUGCAGCCAGUGACUUGUGCAUCUCCUUUCCCCUUAGGGGACAAUGGCCAGAUUCUGCUUCCUGCUGUUCGUCUCUGUGGCCACCAGAGGGUGGAGUGCAGCAGUGGUCCAGGCUCCUGAGAUGUUCCAGGUGGGCAAAACCUGUGCCUCCUCCCUUUCUUUCCUGCCUAGAAGCUGCAAGGAACUCAAAGAAAGUUGCAAUAGAGCAGGUGGACUCACUGAGAAAAUAUACCAAAAUGCACACCUUUGUGGAAGUGUCGUUCAACUUAGCUACCUAGACUUGGCCAACAUUUCUUCUCGUGACAGGCCCAGGGAAUUCCAAUCACAGCCAACGGGGAGGCCUGUGAAUUUUGAAACUGCAGAAUUUGUUCCAAAUUGGAAAGAGAAAACCAGAGAGGCAGCAGAUAUCCACAGGGGUGUCCUUGCAUCUCUGCAGUAAGGGAUACCAUACAACUGAGGAGAAGAAAAGCAGGAACAAUAGCCAACAAUGGUGCAAAUUAAACUGGCAAUAGAACAGGAAGAAAAGACAGCCUUCAGAGUGGCUUGGACCGCAGAGUGAAUUUUCAGCUGGAAAGUUAAAGAGAUCUCCUGUGGAAUACUUCCCACCCCAGCUACGGAAAGCCAGGGAGACUCCACAGUGGCAGCAGAGCCUAGUGGAAAUUAAGAACAGGUUGUUUAAUAUAUAUAUAUAUAUAUACACAUACAUAUAUAUGUGUGUGUAUACACACACACACACACAUAUGUAUGUAAACCCCAGCACACCCAGACUGAAAGUGAAAAAGAAACAGUGUUCUAUAAAGAGUGUUCCUUACCCACUCUGGGCCCAAAUCAUGACUGUGGUCAUCAUUGGGCACCAUUGGCCCAGAUAUUUGACUGUAACAAUGACGCAUGAGUUCUUUUUGAAGACAAUAGAGGAGUUAGCUGUGAAUCAUGGAGUGCUCAUUUUGGAAUAAGAACUAGUAGAUGAU